CCAUAGCUGCCCUAUAUCUGCCCUAUAUCUGCCCCAUAGCUGCCCCAUAGCUGCCCUAUAUCUGCCCCAUAGCUGCCCUAUAUCUGCCCUAUAUCUGCCCCAUAGCUGCCCUAUAUCUGCCCCAUAGCUGCCCUAUAUCUGCCCUAUAACCGCCCCACACAUUUCAGGGUGAAGAAGGAUUUCCGGGCUUCAAAGGCGACGUGGGACCCAAAGGAGAGCGGGGUGACGUUGGCGUUCCAGGCUCUCGUGGCCCCGACGGCCCCGAAGGCCCCAAAGGUCGAAUGGGCCCCAUAGGAGAAGCCGGCCCUAUAGGGGCCAAUGGAGAGAAGGGUAAACUGGGGGUGCCAGGACUGCCGGGUUACCCAGGAAGGCAAGGCCCCAAGGUGAGUGUGGGGCUGCCCCAUAGAUCCCAUGGCCCCAUAGAUCCCAUUACCCCAUAGAUCCCAUUACCCCAUAGAUCCCAUCACCCCAUAGAUCCCAUUACCCCAUAGAUCCCAUUGCCCCAUAGAUCCCAUGGCCCCAUAAGUCCUAUUACCCCAUAAGUCCCAUUACCCCAUAAAUCCCAUUACCCCAUAGAUCCCAUUGCCCCAUAGAUCCCAUUGCCCCAUAAGUCCCAUUACCCCAUAAGUCCCAUUGCCCCAUAAAUCCCAUUGCCCCAUAGAUCCCAUCACCCCAUAGAUCCCAUCACCCCAUAGAUCCCAUUACCCCAUAGAUCCCAUUGCCCCAUAGAUCCCAUUACCCCAUAAGUCCCAUUACCCCAUAGAUCCCAUUACCCCAUAAAUCCCAUUGCCCCAUAAGUCCCAUUACCCCAUAGAUCCCAUUACCCCAUAGAUCCCAUUGCCCCAUAAAUCCCAUUACCCCAUAGAUCCCAUUACCCCAUAAAUCCCAUUACCCCAUAGAUCCCAUUACCCCAUAAGUCCCAUUACCCCAUAAGUCCCAUCGCCCCAUAAGUCCCAUUGCCCCAUAAGUCCCAUUACCCCAUAGAUCCCAUUGCCCCAUAAAUCCCAUUGCCCCAUAGAUCCCAUUGCCCCAUAGAUCCCAUUACCCCAUAGAUCCCAUUACC
RNAcentral lists this long non-coding RNA (1063 nucleotides) under Coturnix japonica (Japanese quail). RNAcentral's name for it is "lncRNA (ENSCJPG00005003030.1)". Lineage: Eukaryota; Metazoa; Chordata; Aves; Galliformes; Phasianidae. The record is from RNAcentral.